This 574-nucleotide ribosomal RNA is filed under the name Pseudogymnoascus pannorum. Its description in RNAcentral is "eukaryotic LSU rRNA". It matches the Rfam family "Eukaryotic large subunit ribosomal RNA", at positions 1 to 581 of the family's 3401-position model. The record is from RNAcentral. Lineage: Eukaryota; Fungi; Ascomycota; Leotiomycetes; Thelebolales; Thelebolaceae.
UUGACCUCGGAUCAGGUAGGGAUACCCGCUGAACUUAAGCAUAUCAAUAAGCGGAGGAAAAGAAACCAACAGGGAUUACCUCAGUAACGGCGAGUGAAGCGGUAACAGCUCAAAUUUGAAAUCUGGCCUCACGGUCCGAGUUGUAAUUUGUAGAGGAUGCUUCGAGCAUGGUCUGGCCUAAGUUCCUUGGAACAGGACGUCAUAGAGGGUGAGAAUCCCGUAUGCGGCCAGGUGCCUACGCUCAUGUGAAGCUCCUUCGACGAGUCGAGUUGUUUGGGAAUGCAGCUCAAAAUGGGUGGUAAAUUUCAUCUAAAGCUAAAUAUUGGCCAGAGACCGAUAGCGCACAAGUAGAGUGAUCGAAAGAUGAAAAGCACUUUGGAAAGAGAGUUAAACAGUACGUGAAAUUGUUGAAAGGGAAGCGCUUGCAACCAGACUUGCGCGCGGCCGAUCAUCCGGUGUUCUCACCGGUGCACUCGGCCGUGCUCAGGCCAGCAUCGGUUUUGGCGGCUGGAUAAAGGCCCUAGGAAUGUGGCUCCUCUCGGGGAGUGUUAUAGCCUAGGGUGCAAUGCAGCCU